UACGUAGGUGGCAAGCGUCAUCCGGAUUUAUUGGGCGUAAAGGGAACGCAGGCGGUCUUUUAAGUCUGAUGUGAAAGCCUUCGGCUUAACCGGAGUAGUGCAUUGGAAACUGGGAGACUUGAGUGCAGAAGAGGAGAGUGGAACUCCAUGUGUAGCGGUGAAAUGCGUAGAUAUAUGGAAGAACACCAGUGGCGAAAGCGGCUCUCUGGUCUGUAACUGACGCUGAGGUUCGAAAGCGUGGGUAGCAAACAGG
This 253-nucleotide ribosomal RNA is filed under the name uncultured bacterium. RNAcentral describes it as "partial 16S ribosomal RNA". It matches the Rfam family "Bacterial small subunit ribosomal RNA", at positions 524 to 776 of the family's 1533-position model. The record is from RNAcentral.